This is a non-coding RNA of Pelobates cultripes (western spadefoot toad), 231 nucleotides long. Lineage: Eukaryota; Metazoa; Chordata; Amphibia; Anura; Pelobatidae. The record is from the annotation of a GenBank genome assembly.
GGAAACAGAAUGCACUAUCCAACUCACGGAUGACGAAUGGAUUCACGCACUGAACGCCAUAUCUAAAUGGACUAAGUGCUACACCCAUAUAGAAGCACAUAGAAAAUUACUGUACAGAUGGCACUUAACUCCCUACACUCUCCAUAAAAUUUACCCCAAUACGUCUCCUCUCUGCUGGAGAUGUUCGGCUGAGACAGGCACACAUACGCACAUAUGGUGGGCAUGUCCCAA